This 403-nucleotide ribosomal RNA is filed under the name uncultured bacterium. RNAcentral describes it as "partial 16S ribosomal RNA". It matches the Rfam family "Bacterial small subunit ribosomal RNA", at positions 28 to 526 of the family's 1533-position model. The record is from RNAcentral.
GACGAACGCUGGCGGCGUGCCUAAUACAUGCAAGUCGAACGCAGUGGGGACGGUUGAGUAACACGUGGCUAACCUCCCAUCAGAGGGGAUAAAACUUGGAAACAGGUGCUAAACCCAUACUGGUGGAGGGACCCGCGGUGGAUUAGCCAGUUGGGGGGGUAACGGCUCACCAAGGCCACGAUGAGUAGCCGAGCUGAGAGGGGGAUCGGCCACACUGGGACUGAGACACGGCCCAGACUCCUACGGGAGGCAGCAGUAGGGAAUGUUCGGCAAUGGACGAAAGUCUGACCGAGCAACGCCGCGUGAGUGAAGAAGGUUUUCGGAUCGUAAAACUCUGUUGUUAGAGAAGCGGUAUCUAACCAGAAAGCCACGGCUAACUCCGUGCCAGCCGCCGCGGUAAUAC